Molecule: ribosomal RNA, 429 nt
Filed under: Gemmatimonadota bacterium
Lineage: Bacteria; Pseudomonadati; Gemmatimonadota
Description: Gemmatimonadetes bacterium partial 16S ribosomal RNA
Rfam family: Bacterial small subunit ribosomal RNA
Source: RNAcentral
UAGGGAAUCUUCGGCAAUGGACGAAAGUCUGACUGAGCAACGCCGCGUGAGUGAAGAAGGUUUUCGGAUCGUAAAACUCUGUUGUUAGAGAAGAACAAGGACGUUAGUAACUGAACGUCCCCUGACGGUAUCUAACCAGAAAGCCACGGAUAACUACGUGCCAGCAGCCGCGGUAAUACGUAGGUGGCAAGCGUUGUCCGGAUUUAUUGGGCGUAAAGCGAGCGCAGGCGGUAUCUUAAGUCUGAUGUGAAAGCCCCCGGCUCAACCGGGGAGGGUCAUUGGAAACUGGGAGACUUGAGUGCAGAAGAGGUGAGUGGAAUUCCAUGUGUAGCGAUGAAAUGCGUAGAUAUAUAGAGGAACACCAGUGGCAAAGGCGGCUCUCUGGUCUGUAACUGACGCUGCGGCUCGAAAGCGUGGGGAGCAAACAGG